CACGUAGGGUGCGAGCGUUGUCCGGAAUUAUUGGGCGUAAAGAGCUCGUAGGCGGUGUGUCGCGUCGGCCGUGAAAACCUGCAGCUUAACUGUGGGCUUGCGGUCGAUACGGGCAUCACUGGAGUUCGGCAGGGGAGACUGGAAUUCCUGGUGUAGCGGUGAAAUGCGCAGAUAUCAGGAGGAACACCGGUGGCGAAGGCGGGUCUCUGGGCCGAUACUGACGCUGAGGAGCGAGAGCGUGGGGAGCGAACGGG
This 254-nucleotide ribosomal RNA is filed under the name uncultured bacterium. Its description in RNAcentral is "partial 16S ribosomal RNA". It matches the Rfam family "Bacterial small subunit ribosomal RNA", at positions 524 to 776 of the family's 1533-position model. The record is from RNAcentral.